GGCGCGACGCGAAAACGGCGGCGGCAGUGGAGCUUCUCCGGCGAGCGAUUCCAGUGGCCUGGGGGCGUGCGAGCGUGGGCCAGCAGAGGGGAAGAAGAGAGGAGAGCUCGGGCUUUUAAAGGACGCGGGCCGCUCGCUCUAGGAAGGCCGAAAUCAGCGGGGCGGCGAUGGCGCGCGCGGAAUCUGGCGCGGAUUCGGCGGCGGGCGGGCGGCGCUUUCCUAACGAGGACAACGGCCCUGACAGGUGGGCCCCACCUGUCAGCGGCAGCGGGCGCGCGUGGCGCUGGGCCGGUCCGGUUCGGGCAGGCUCGGGCGUUGCGGGGCCGGUUCGGCCCCAAACAGUCGGGCCGGUCCGGUUUUCCCUUUUCUUUUUUCUUCUAGCCUUUUGUUUUUUUGUUUUUCUUAUUUCUUUGAUAACUUUUGAUUUUGAACUCCAAAUUGGUCCAAAUAAAUUCUAGAAAAUUUGUAAAAUCAUGUUUUAUCAUGAUUCAACUUUUGGGAGUAAUUUCUUCUCAAAAUAAAACAUCUAAACAGGCAUUUGCCCUGUAAAUGCCUUUAGGGCUAUAUAACUAUUUAAAUAAAAUAGUUUUUCAACUCCAAAUAAAUGUCCAAAAAAUUAUGGGAUAGCUUAUUUAUGCAAUAAACCUCUCUUAUAAAUAAACCUUAUUGGUUUGAAGAUCCAAAGCUCAAAUGGGUGUAAACACUAGGGUUUAAAUUGAAACAAAAUCUUUUAAAGCCUUUUGAGAUUCAAAUUUGAAUUCAAAUAUGCAAUUGUCGCAUGAUGCUCAUGGAUGCAAUGCACAUGUAAAAGUUUGAAAUUUUUGGGAUGUUACAGACCUAACCCCCUUAAGAUGAAUCUCGUCCUCGAGAUUAGGUGUGGUCAGCAAAGAGGUGUGGGUGGUCUUCUCGAAGAUUAUCUUCGCGCUCCCAAGUGGCUUCUUCUUCUGUAUGAUGGUCCCACUAAACUUUGCAGAACUUGAUAGUCUUGGAUCCGGUUUGUCUCUCAGGUGUAUCCAAGAUUCUGAUCGGUUUCUCCUCAUAGGUGAGGUCACUCUGUAAUUGGACUUCCUCGAGUGGAAUUGUAUCCCUCAGGGGUGUGUCAGCCAUCUCAGGAUGACACUUCUUCAGUUGCGAU
RNAcentral lists this long non-coding RNA (1135 nucleotides) under Brachypodium distachyon (stiff brome). Its description in RNAcentral is "long non-coding RNA (BDIS_LNC004799)". Lineage: Eukaryota; Viridiplantae; Streptophyta; Magnoliopsida; Poales; Poaceae. The record is from RNAcentral.